Molecule: ribosomal RNA, 253 nt
Filed under: uncultured bacterium
Lineage: Bacteria
Description: partial 16S ribosomal RNA
Rfam family: Bacterial small subunit ribosomal RNA
Source: RNAcentral
UACAGAGGGUGCGAGCGUUAAUCGGAAUUACUGGGCGUAAAGCGUGCGUAGACGGUUGCAUAAGUCGGAUGUGAAAGCCCCGGGCUCAACCUGGGAAUUGCAUUCGAGACUGUGCAGCUAGGAUGCGGAAGAGGGAAGCGGAAUUUCCGGUGUAGCGGUGAAAUGCGUAGAUAUCGGAAGGAACACCAGUGGCGAAAGCGGCUUCCUGGUCCAGCAUCGACGUUCAGGCACGAAAGCGUGGGGAGCAAACAGG